ACCUUAGAACAUAAGAAUGGCCGUACUGGGUCAAAACAAAGCUCCAUCUAGCCUAGUAUCCUGUCUGCCGACAGCGGCCAAUGCCAGGUGCCCCAGAGGGAGUGAACAGAACAAGGAAUUAUCAGGUGAUCCAUCAACUGUCACCCAUUGGCAACUUCUGA
Long non-coding RNA from Dermochelys coriacea (leatherback sea turtle), 161 nucleotides. RefSeq lists it as uncharacterized. The record is from RefSeq and is a predicted model, not a curated record. The transcript has 4 exons. NCBI's taxonomy places the organism in Eukaryota, Metazoa, Chordata, Testudines, Dermochelyidae.